AUGCUCAGUAACACGUUGUUAACAUACGCUUGGGUCAGGGAUAACCUCGGGAAACGGAGGCUAAUACCUGAUAGGGGAUAGAUACUGGGAUGUUCCUUCCCUGAAAUUCGUGCCCAAGGAUUGGACAGCGGCUGAUUAGCUUGUUGGUGAGGUAAUGGCUUACCAAGGCGACGAUCAGUACGGGCCCUGAGAGGGGUAGCCCGGAGAAGGGUACUGAGAUAAGGACCCUAGCCCUACGGGGUGCAGCAGGCGGGAAACCUUUACGAUGCACGCAAGUGCGAUAAGGGAAUCCAGAGUGCUCACACUUCGGUGUGAGCUUUUGCCAAGAGUAAACUCCUUGGCGAAUAAGGGAUGGGAAAGACUGGUGCCAGCCGCCGCGGUAACACCAGCGUCCCGAGUGGGAGCCAUUUUUAUUGGGUCUAAAGCGUCCGUAGCCGGUCAUGUCAGUUCUUUGUGAAAUCGUGUUGCUCAACUUCACGGCGUGCAAGGAAUACUGCAUAGACUAGGGACUGGGAGAGGUAAGAGGUAUUCCAGGGCUAGCGGUAAAAUGUUAUCAUCCUUGGAGGACCACCAAUGGCGAAGGCAUCUUACUAGAACAGGUCCGACGGUGAGGGGCGAAAGCUAGGGGAUCAAAACGGAUUAGAUACCCGAGUAGUCCUAGCUGUAAACGCUGUGUACUAGGCGUUGCAUAUUCUAUAUGGAUGUGCAGUGUCGGAGCGAAGGCGUUAAGUACACCACCUGGGAAGUACGGCCGCAAGACUGAAACUUAAAGGAAUUGGCGGGGAAGCGCCACAAGGAGUGCUACGUGCGGUUUAAUUUGAUUAUACACGGGGAAUCUUACUAGGACCGACAGCAGGAUGAAGGUCAUUCUGAAUGGAUCACCUGACGCGCUGAAAGGUGCUGCAUGGCCGACGUCAGCUAGUGCUGUGAGGUGUCCUCUUAAGUGAGGUAACUAGCGAGACCUGUAUCCACUAUUGCAAACAAUGUCUCCGGACAGAUUGUGCACUUUGUGGGGACUGCCUUGGAAACGAGGAGGAAGGUGCAGGCAACGUUAGGUCAGUAUAGCUCUCACGUCCUAGGCUACACGCGCGUUGCAAUGGUAGAGACAAUGGGAUACAACUUCGAAAGAAGGAGUUAAGCCUCGAAACUCUACCCCAGUACAGAUUGAGGUUUGUAACUCAGCCUCAUGACGCCGGAAUUCCUAGUAAUCGGACAUUAGCAGUGUCCGGUGAAUAUGUCAACGCUUCUUGCACACACUGCCCGUCAAGCCACUCGAGCAGGGGUUUGAUGAGGCCAUACCUUUUAGUAUGGUCGAAUCUGGUCUCAGCAAGAUGGGC
This 1337-nucleotide ribosomal RNA is filed under the name metagenome. RNAcentral describes it as "bacterial SSU rRNA". It matches the Rfam family "Archaeal small subunit ribosomal RNA". The record is from RNAcentral.